CAGCGAACCAUCCCCAACAAAAAGCCCUGUUCUUUCCAAAAGGCUGAUGGGGUCUCCCCACAGGGUGUUCACACCCCGUCUCCUCGCUCCUGGUAAUUUCCGGAGUUUAAUGAAGUCCUUUGUGGGGGAAGCAAUUGGAUUUCAAUGACCUCCUCCCUGGAGCUCGCCCCAGUGAGCAGGAUCUACCGUCUCCACCUAGUUCUGAUUGACUGGAUGGACUGACAAGGAACCCUGAAGUGGGCAGAUGACAUGUAGCGCAAUGGCCAUCAGACAAGGUGUUCCCUUCUGUCCUGAGGACGUUCCGGCAGGCGCGUGCGAAGGGCAGGGAGAAAUUCCAGGUGACAGGAGUCUCCUGCCCAGCUCAGCUGGUGCCUGGGGUGGAGUCCCAGGGCCAGCUCUGUGACCCUGUUCAAGUCACCUGACGUUGUGGAUUCGUCCCCACGAGAUGCGUGCAGUCUGCAGAGCUGCCGGUGCCCCCAGAACACUCUGUUGUUUCUGGGUGUGUCUGUCUUCCAAGUCUGAAGUCCCUGUUGUUGACAUUUUGAAGCUUGUUACUUUGGGACCCAGAGCUCGCUGGGGCAUACAAGAAACCGCCUCCCGUUUCUGCUUUGGCCUGAAUGACCCGACCGUGAAUCCCUUGUCCCAGCCAAGGCUCACACCCAGCCACUGUGGUCUGAAUGUGGACUGAGUGUCCCCCGGGCCCCCUGUGAGGUACUGAGAGCAAAAGCUUCAUCCAACUGCGGUGUUCGGAGGUAGGGCCUCUGGCAAUGGUUGGGGUUAGAUACGGUCAUUAGGGUGGAGCCACCUGAUGGAAUCCUAGGACUUUAUAAAAAGGAGAGCUGAACAGGGCGUGGUGGCACAGGCCUGCAAUCCCCGGAACUCAGGGAGGCUGAGGCAGGAGGAUUGCAAGUUCAAGACC
Marmota flaviventris (yellow-bellied marmot) is the source of this 919-nucleotide long non-coding RNA. RefSeq lists it as uncharacterized. Lineage: Eukaryota; Metazoa; Chordata; Mammalia; Rodentia; Sciuridae. The record is from RefSeq and is a predicted model, not a curated record.